Hippopotamus amphibius kiboko is the source of this 13920-nucleotide RNA transcript. It is a transcript of the gene named protein geranylgeranyltransferase type I subunit beta, with no coding region annotated. The record is from RefSeq and is a predicted model, not a curated record. Lineage: Eukaryota; Metazoa; Chordata; Mammalia; Artiodactyla; Hippopotamidae. The transcript has 10 exons.
GUCGUUUCCGUAGUAGCAUGGCGGCCACGGAGGAUGAGCGGCCGGCGGGGAGCGGAGAGGGAGAGCGGCUGGAUUUCCUGCGCGACCGGCACGUGCGGUUCUUCCAGCGUUGCCUCCAGGUCUUGCCGGAGCGCUACUCUUCGCUCGAGACCAGCAGGUUGACUAUUGCAUUUUUUGCACUCUCCGGGCUGGAUAUGUUGGACUCCUUAGAUGUGGUGAACAAGGAUGAUAUAAUAGAGUGGAUUUACUCCCUGCAGGUCCUUCCCACAGAAGACAGAUCAAAUCUAAAUCGCUGUGGUUUCCGAGGCUCUUCAUACCUUGGUAUUCCAUUCAAUCCAUCAAAGAAUCCUGGAACAGCUCAUCCUUAUGAUAGUGGCCACAUAGCAAUGACCUACACUGGCCUUUCAUGCCUAGUUAUUCUUGGAGACGACCUAAGCCGAGUAAAUAAAGAAGCUUGCUUAGCAGGCUUGAGAGCGCUUCAGCUAGAAGAUGGAAGUUUUUGUGCAGUACCUGAAGGCAGUGAAAAUGACAUGCGAUUUGUAUACUGUGCUUCCUGUAUUUGCUAUAUGCUCAACAACUGGUCUGGCAUGGAUAUGAAAAAAGCCAUCAGCUAUAUUAGAAGAAGUAUGUCCUAUGACAAUGGGUUGGCACAAGGAGCUGGACUUGAAUCUCAUGGAGGAUCAACUUUUUGUGGCAUUGCAUCACUGUGCCUGAUGGGUAAACUAGAAGAAGUGUUUUCAGAAAAAGAAUUGAACAGGAUAAAGAGGUGGUGUAUAAUGAGACAGCAAAAUGGUUAUCAUGGAAGACCUAAUAAGCCUGUCGACACCUGUUAUUCUUUUUGGGUGGGAGCAACUCUAAAGCUUCUAAAAAUUUUCCAAUAUACUAACUUUGAGAAAAAUAGAAAUUACAUCUUAUCAACUCAAGAUCGCCUGGUCGGGGGAUUUGCCAAGUGGCCAGAUAGUCAUCCAGAUGCUUUGCAUGCAUAUUUUGGAAUUUGUGGCCUGUCACUAAUGGAGGAAAGUGGCAUUUGUAAAGUUCAUCCUGCCCUGAAUGUAAGCACACGGACUUCUGAGCGCCUUCGAGAUCUCCAUCAGAGCUGGAAAACUAAGGACUCUAAACAGUGCUCAGAGAAUGUACACAUCUCCACAUGACUAACUUUAGAUUGGGAGGGUGGGGGGUGGAUUUGUAGCAUAACUGUAGCUCAAGGUUAAAAGCCAUGUAUAACCAAGUGUGCUCUUUUUUUAAGAGGGAGAGUCUUGCAAUCAAAUCUUGUGCUGAUGUCACUUUGGGGUAUGGUCUUGAGCUAGUAACCUUCAUACUAGUUUUCAAGAAAAUCUUUGUUGAAGUUUGAACCACAGUGGAUUCUAUUGUGGUUCUUAAAUGUUUAUACUGUAUUUCUAAGUUCUUUGAGGCAAAUUAACUGUAUGUAUGUAGGUUAUCUUUUUAAAAAACUCUUCAGUACAAAAUUGUAUCAUAUUAGAAAAUGGACACAAAUCUUCAGAAGAAGUUUACAGUUCACAUAGCAUUGAUAAUCUUGGGGUGAACACUUAGUGAUCAUUUUAAAAGCUUGACUGCUGAUGGUAGAACAUUGCUUUAAUGAAUUAAGUAUCUGGGAUUAUUCUGUGAAAACAUGAUCCCAUAAUUUUUAAAAAGUAUAAUGAUUUAUUUUGUCUUAAGUAAAAUGUGCCAAUUAAACUUUUGUGGCCUAUACAAAUGAAAUUAACUUCAUAGCAAGAGUGAAUAGGCUUAACUAAUACAAUACUUUUCUAAAGGGCGAUUGUUUUAAGAAGACUAUUAUGUAACUGAGGGAGAAGUAAUUUAACUGUAUGUGAUUGUGAAUGGGAAAGUUUUGUGCUGUGUGGGUCAUUUUAGAUGUUGCUGGGGUAAAUAACAGUUAUGUUUGAUUUUAAUCUCUAAUCAUUAGUCGGGUUUUUUUUCCUUUCUGCAGAGAAAACAGUCUUAUCUAGAAGGGAAGACAUUUAGUAGUUUUGUUUCUUUUUCUGAGAUAUGUGAUACUGUAAAUUGUACUUUUAUAAGUGAGUUAUUUUUAGCCAUUUGGAUUUUUUGUUGUUGUUGUUGUUGCCCCCAGUGUGUUAGCUGCUCUAAUUUGAAACUGAUGAUUUUCUAAUUUUUUCAAAUUGAAUAAGUAAACAUUUAAGUAAAAAAAAAUAGCACCACUCAAGUAAAUUUUAUGGUGUAGCUCCAUACACGGUCAUUCAUAUUUUUGUAUUUUCAGGUAAGUGGGAAGGAACCAUUUAGGGGUUAAGGACUGGGGUUUUGCUUUGUUUUGUUUUCUUCAUUCUAUGAUCUAGCUAAUUGUAAAGGAGUUAGUGUAAAAACUCAUCUUUAUUAGUAAUCAGUUUAUCAAUAAAUCACAUCUAUCACUGUUGCUCUGUGACAUUCAAAGUUAUGAGAGUAGUGCUGAAAUGGAGAAGGAAAUCUCUUCACCAAAGGGACUACAUUUAAGUUAAAGUCUUGGUGAUAAUAAAUGUUGGAUUAUUAGUUUUACAAGUAUCAGUAUAAAAACUAGAUUACUAGUAUCACUGUUCAGGUAUUUAAAUUUUUAUUUUAAUUUCUUUCCUACAGUGGAGAAGAAAUAUCCUUAAAGAAUGGUCCUUCCCAGGGGAAACCUAGUAUAUACCUGGAGAAAUGAUUCAUUUAUUAUUGGCAUGCUUAGUUUUAAAACUCAGUUUGCCAAAGUCAAUUUUUAAAAUUUUAAUUAGAAAUAAAAUCACUUUUCUGAUGGUGGGGAAAAAAAUAAGCCUAAAAACAGAUGUCAUCCUUCCAUGAGUUAUUCCAGUUUGUAGCGGUUUAAAUCUUGACAAAUUGACAACUGCAUCUCAAACUAACUCAUUUCUUAGACAUCAGGAGUUAAAAUGGCAUAUAUGUAACAGCUUUAGAACUAUUGAAAAAGCUCCAGUUUCUUUUUUCCUGAAUUGCCAUUAGUGGUUGGAAGCUUAAAAAGUUAGUAAUAGUAACCAUAUUCAUAUGAAGGAGAAUUCCAAGGUGAAAGUAUUUCGUAAAACUACUAAAUAUUUUCUAACUCCUUGUGUAAUUUAAUAAUGUAAGGUUCUAUAUUACAGUAUGAUUCUAAUUGAUAUACUCGUGAGAGGCCUUUUUGUGAAACUUUAUGAACUGGUGAAUAUUCACAUUCCAUAGCAGCAUAUUGACCAAAAAAAUACCAGGCCAUUGUGAAUUGUGGAGAAACUAUUUCCAACUUUUUCUAAAAGUUACUUACAAGGAAAGUAUUAAUAAAAUAAAUUAAAAGCACUAUUUCAUAUAUAUAUACUUGGUUGUUUAGCAGUGGUGAUACAAUGAGAAAGGGGAAUGUGAAGUCUCAGUAACUCUGUUCCCUCUGCUCUACCCCCAUCUCCAAUAUGGUAUUUUUUAGACUAUGGUAGGAGAAGCCUUGUUUUGAGCAUAUGCAUGAAAGCAAGUUUGAUCAGAUCAUACAACACAACUGAGCCUUUUUAUCAUCUGCGGUGCUUUUAGAUGACCUAUCAUAUGUAUACAUUUUAAUUACAUCUUUAAAUAAUUAUUUAUAAAUAUUUAAAUUCAAAUAGAAAUUUUGCUAACAAUGAUACAUAGUUUGAAGCUGUUGGGCCUGAUAAUAUUUGAGAAUCAGUAUAGUAAGGAGGUGCUCUGGAGUCAGAUGACUUGGUUUUAAAUUCUAGAUCUGUCAGUUCACCAGUGUAAUCUUGGACCCUAACUUACCCUUUGGUAAAAUGAGGGGGGAAAAUCUAACUCAAGUUUUUUUGUAGAUCAAAUGAGAAAAUACAUAUAAAGUACUUAGCAUAGUGUCUGAAAUACAGUAAAUCCCUAAUUAUAAUUUCUGUCAUAACCAUCAUAAAAUUGUUUUUAAAACUUCUCUUUUUAUAAUAGAGAUCCCACAGAGUUUAAACUGGAGGAAGAUGAUGGCAGCAGGGUAGUUUCUGAAUCUCCCCAUUUGAAUCCAGAGUAACUAGGAUAGCCACAGACCCUGUUCUACAAAACUAGAUGACAGGGUGUCGCCAUGAACUUCCAAAUACAAUUUUAUAAGGACAAACCACUGACCAGCAUAGUUUUAGCAUCUGUGUGGGAGGAAGUGAAAGGCAGGCAGCUGGUUGCUGACAGCCUUGAGAGUAGAACUAUAAACAUUGCCCACAGUUUCUCACUGGAAAGUGCAGUGGGCCAGUCUGAGAACAGAAGCUGAAACUGGGAGGGGUUCUGCAGGUCCCAAUUUGCAGGUAACUGUUAGAGCAAUUUGCAGGUCUGAUGGUUGUGCUGGAGCAGUCUGGGCCCUGUCCUGUAUACAUCUUAAAACUAAGGAGACAAAGCCUAGCUAGAAUUAGAAUCCAAAUUGGACAGGAUAGGUACAAUAGGACGAAGAGAAGAGAGAGUCCAGAUAAAUAAUUGGGAGGGAAGGUCAAUAUACAUAGACAUUAUAUGGGGACAUAGACAAUCUUUUAAAUCACUUUGUGAAAACGAAACAGGAACUUUAGGGCCAUAGAGCAAAGAAAAGGCAUCCUGGGGCACCCCUUCCUCCUAAAAGUACAGGAAAACUUACUUCAUGAAAACCAAAACCCAAGAAGGAUCACAGUCAAAGCCCAUUCAAAAUUGUUUUAAGGAAUUAAAGAAUAAGCAGCCCAGUAUCCCCACAAUGAAAGCACACCAGAAGGACAUGACCACAAGACUGAUGAAAACCCAGUAUUUUUAAAAAGCCAUUAUGACAGGAAAUUUAUAGUUUUAGAACACUAUCCAUAAACGUGGGAAAAGCUAAGAAUUAUACAAUCAAGUCUGGAAAACUAGAGGAAAAAGCAAACCAAAAGGAAGUGGAAGGGAUUAAUAAAAAGGGGGAAGGAGGGAAGACAGGAUAGACAAACCAACAGCCAACCUUUUCAAGAAAAAUAGGAACCAAAAACACAGAAGUUUAAAUGACAAGAGAGAAAUAACCAUAAAACAGAUUUUGAAAAUUAACACUGCUUUCAGUAAUUUUAUAUAAUAAACAAGAAAGUAAUAACUUUUCUUAGAAAAAUGCCAUUUGCCAAGAUUACCCUAGUAGAUACAGAAAUUGAAAACAAAUGGACACUUUACCAAAAAAAAAAAAUCAGGUCCAAAAUGUUUCAAGGGUAUUUCUACCAAACUGUCAUGAUUAAAUAAUCCUAAUGUUGUUUAAACAAUUCCAGGCGCUAAAAAGAGACUCUUGAACCUCAAAGGAAAAAAAACACAAGCAAAAAAGACUUCUAAAUUCAUUUUAUAAAGUGAACAUGAUAGUAUUUCUAAAACCUGACAAGAUGGUACCAAAGAGAAAAUUACAGACUGCUCUGACUUAUGAAUAUAUCAGUGCAUAAAUGUUAACAAUACAUUAGCAAAAAAUUCAAUAGCACUUUCAAAAAAUAUUAAGUCAUGAGUAAGCUGGAUUUAUUAUAGCAAUGCAAGAAUAAUUUAAUAUUAGACAAUCCAUUAAUAUUAAUAUUCAUUAAGAGUUAAGGAGAAAAAUAUGAUUAUCUCCAUCUUUUCAGAAAAGGUAUUUGACAAAAUUGAGCACUCGUUUAUGUUAAAUAUACUUAGUAAGUAGAAAUUGAUGAGUAAUUCAUCGACCUUGUACCUCUGCCCAAAAGCCAGCACCUUAAUGUCGAUACAAGAGGCUUUCCUGCUAAAGUCAGGAACAAGGCCCACCAUCUCCUCUGCUACUUAACUUUGUGUUGGGGGAUUUAGCCAAUGAAGUUAGACAAAAGAAAACAAAGACAUGUGAAUUGAAAAGGAGGAGGAAAACUGUUCACAAAUAUGAUUUUAUAUCUGGAAAACCCAAAUGAAUUUGUUGAAAAGCCAUAAGAGAACUUAGAAAAGUAGCAAUUGCAUACAACUAACAUAAAAAUAUCAGUAGCCUCCACCAGACACAAAAAGUGCAUACUCUGAUUCCAUUUAGGUGAAGUUCAAAAUGGACAAAAUUAUCUAUGGUGUCAGAAGUCAGUGCCCCCAUUUAGUUGCUGCCUCCCUCCUCAAAGGUAAGCACUAUCAUGACUGAAAUCACCAUCAGUUUUGUCUGUUUUUGAACUUUCUAUAAGUGGAAUCAGAAUCAGCACAUUAGUUUUCAGCUGGCUUCUUUUGCUCCACAGGGACUGAAAGAGUGCAAGGCAGAGUCUGGUGCUGGCGAUAUUCUGUUUCAUGAUUUAGGUGCUGGUAACAUAGGUGCAUUCACUUUAUGUAUCAAGCUGUACACUUAAGAUCUGUGCACUUUUCUGUAUGUAUAAUUAUAGUUCAAUAAAAAUGUUUACUAAAAAGAAUAAAAGACUAUAUAUAUAUAUAAACCUCAACUAGUUAGAAGAUGUUCUUGAAGAGAAGGUCCCUUUUAUGACUGGAAAAAAGAAAACAAAACAAAAAAAACAAGAAAUGUAUAUGUAAACUUAAGAGGUCCAAAAUCUGUAUGAGAAAAUCUUAAAUAAAACUCUUGAAAGCCCUCCAGGUGGCUCUGGUGCACACUGAAAUUUGAGAACCAAUCACUGAUUUAGAAAAAGCAGCUUGGGCUAGGAGAAGCAGGUAAGAACCCCAUAAUUAUUUGCAAAUUUAAAUUUUAAAAAGAAGUUUUAGUUAACAGUAAGCUGACUGCAGUUCAACAAUGUGAUCUUUGUUCCCACCCCCCAAAAAGGUACUGUGAUCUUAGUCUGUGGUAGUAGGGUUGAGAUGUAAUGAAUGCUCAGCUAUGCAAAGAAAAUAUAAUAUUUAUUUUCUCACAUGGACCCAAUCUUCACUUGCCCGUAUCUUUGGCUAUGAAGGGGUAGAGGAGGCUAAGGAGCGUGGCUAUUUAAAUUUGUCAGCUAACAAACAAUCUCAGUCUUCUAAUGUCAGUGUUUUGUUUUUUUUUUUUCUCCUGUUCCUUGUUGUCUGGGUAUAUGUGCCUCCUGGCAGUUGGGGGGGCCUUUGUUGCAGGUUGCUGCUCUAAUCUGGUGUCUACUAAGGUGUCUGCUGCUGGUCUAGUGUGGCCUUUCCAGGUGGGUUGCUGCCGUAUGCCUGAUUCCACAGUCCCAGCAGUGCAGCAUUUUUGCUCUAAUCCCAGGCUACCACCAAUCUCCCUGAUUUUAGUGAUUCUGUAUCUGCACCUUCCAGUCCUCUACACACACACACCCCUACACAUACAUCCCCACACCCACCCCAUCCCUUUGGCCUAUGCAGAAACUCCUGGGUCUUUGUUCCUAAAACACUAUCUUCAUUUCAUUUAUCUAGUAACCUCCCCUCCCACUUCAAUGGUACUGAGCCACCCUGGAUGUAGAGGUAAGUUAAACUAUUUCUCCUAGGACUGUAACCUCUUCUAGGAAGCCUGGAGAAGCAGGUCAGAGGGCCACCUCACAUACCACAUGUCUAAAUAUUUAAGAGUUACAAAUCACACUAGAAAAGUAUGUUCUAUCCUCCUAGGCUGACAAAUGUAAUAGCAGAUUUAGGGGGGUGGGGCAGUGGAGCAAGUCAUACCAAAUAAUUGUGAAUAGUGUAAAUGCACAAUUAACUUCAUUUUCUACCUCAGGCUAUGACUGGCAGUGGCUGCUGCUGGGCUGGAGCAGGACAGGCAAAGGGAGAUUUCUCCCUGGCUUGCUGGCCUCCCAGCCCUGGGCUCUCUGCAGUCAUUAGAGAGACUCACAGAAUAUGCAUCCACUUUUUCUUCUUGGAGUGUAGGGGGUGGCUCUUUCACCCCUACUUGAUCUCUCUCCGCUCCCUGCACCUCCUCCGUCUGACAACAAAGUUUCUCUUUACGCCACACGGUCUGAGUCAAGUGAUCUUUGCCCACAUACACGUCUAGACUCCUACCCUACCAACAUCACCCUAUCAAGCGUCUCAAAGGAAACUGAGGCUCAAAUCUGGAAACCUUGGCCUCCUCAGGGUUCCCAGCCCAUGGCCAGCCCUCUUUCUCCAACCUAGGCCCCCUCCCACACCUGAGGGGCUCCCUUAUGCUCAUAACAAGCUCCAUAUCACCUCAAGCUCCCCCAGGCCGCUGCUCCAUCAUCACACCUGGGACCCAGAUGUGUAUACACACCCUGGCAGCACUGUCCAAAAAGGACCCAGGAGAACCCCAUGCAGGCCCUGAAAGUUGGCUCACAUGGGAAUUCCAUGAUCUCUGGUACCUGGCGUCAUGCUCUAGAAAAGGAGCCCAUCAGUGUCUUAUGGAGAGCACUGGAAUGGGGCCCUCUUUCCCGAAUCUAAGGGCAGUACUGACAGACUACCAGCAGCUAUGUUCUUAGUUUCCUUCACACCUGUCUAGACCUUGCUACUAGGCAUUCCACACACUUCUCCUCUGCCCAUCUCUUUCAUCCUUUCCACACUUUCCCAGGGCUGGGAGUAAAUAAGAUUUUGCCCCUUCGUUUGUGGCAGGGACUUUCAUUUUCUGAGUUCUCUCUACCAUUGCCUUGACAUGUUAACUGAAGUUUGAGAAAAUCCUUUCUCAAGUGACAAAGGCUGGCUUUAUGAUUCUUAUUUUGCUGUAUACUCUAAAGUUGCUUAUUUCUUCCCUUUCUCAUUGCUGUAGUAUGCUAAACCUCUCAAGGUAAAUAAAUGAGUGCCUCUGGUGGAACAGGAAAUGCAAAGGCAAAAAACACAUCAAAGUUUUUCAAAGUUAGUAUCCUUGCCUAUUAAAAUAACACUUUAAUAGAAGUAGGGCAGCUAAAAUGAAGGAGGUGAUGACACCACUGUGCUGUGUACUGUUGGUUUCAAGGUACCAUGUAUUAAAAAGGUCAGAAGUGGGAAGAUGAGGCUCUCUAGGGGGGCAAGGAGAAAUGGGCCAUAUUUAUCAUAUGGAAAAUAUCUAGAGAGCCGUUCUGUGGAAUCAGGUUUAGAUUCAGUGCUAACUUCAGAAUUUCUUUUUAGUGGGGGCUUAGGGUGUGGCCAGUAAGAAGGUGAGGCCUAGGGGGCUUGCCUUGAAGUUGAUUUGCAUUUAUCACUGAACUCUGUUUAUUGUGUGUUCAUUUGAGCUGGCUUUAGAGAGAGCAGGUGAGGAUUAGGGGUUAAUCUUAACAUACCCUUGCUUAGUCACAUCCUGCUCCACCAGUAACUGGAGUGCUCAAAACUUUAUAAACAUGCACAACAAAUAAUAUUUUUGAAUAGAAGAAUUGAUAAAGGAAUCCCUGUGUGACAGAGAUAAAGGACUUUACAAUGUCAGAGCUGCGUGAAGUUGGAAUGGAACCAGUAAGCUCCCUGCCCUGGAGAAGGUAAGCUCAGCUGGAAGGCAGGGAAGGAGCAGAGGACCACAGGCUGGCAGUGUAUAGCUAGACUCACUUUCAGAUGAUGUUCAGUUUGGACAGAGAAGUGUCAAACAGGAAAACAAACACCAUUAUUUUAGAGCAUUACCCCAUUUCUCUAAAAGCAUUCCUAUUGCCUGUUCUUGAACAAACUGCAUUUUCAGAGUAAACAAAUCAUCCUAGUUGAUGAGGGAAAGUUCCAGUUUUCAGAAAAAUUCUCAGUUUAAAUGUAAAAGGAAUGAUGGAGGUAGAAAAGAACAAUUUUGCAAAUGCUCAUAAAUUCUAGGCCAAAAUCAUCAGUGGAUACUGAAACCAUUAGGAGAAAAGGUGAUGGAGAACUUUAAAAUGGAAGGCUCAUGCUGCCAGCACCUGAAUCCACUAAUCAAUCCUGUGGUCUCUAAAAGGAGAACAAUCAGACAGUAAGAGCCUCCUGACUAAUGCCCUGUGAGGUACACAGUAGUAGCUAUAAAGUAUCAUUGCCAAAAACAGCAGAGACUGAAUCUCAUCAAUCUGCUAGAUCCAGCAUCUAGAUCUCACCAGUGAAGUGGGAAAAGUAAAAUGGCACCACAAGGGAGCAGUCAGGCGUGUCAGAGGUAGCACAUCCUAAAGAUAAAUCUGGUUUCUUCAACAAGCCAAUGGCAUAAAGAAAUGGAGGGGAAGGGAUAAGGCAGACUUUUAGAUUACAAGAAAUAUGAGACAUAACACAUGGACCUAAUUUGGGUUUGGGUUCUUAUUUGAACCAACUAACUUUCAAAAGACAUUUUUGAGAGGACUAGGGAAAUUUGAUAUGAACUAGAUAUUUGGUGAUAUUAAAUAAUUAUUUUUAAUUUUGUUAGUUGUGAUAAUGGUUUGUGUUAUACAAAAUUUUUUAGAGAUACAUUCAGAAUUUGGAUUGACAGAUUCAGCGCUGAACUUUUAAAAAGGUGAGACUCACCUCCAAAGCUUUGCAUUCAGAAGGUUAUGGUAGAGACAGGAAUCUUUAACGUUCCACAGGUAAUUCUGAUGAGAAGCCAGCUUUAAGAAUCACUGUAUAACUCAAAAGGUCCAUUCUAACAUGGAGAGUAGAUGAUCUUAAGGUGACUUCAGGCUGAUAAAUGUGUGUUUCUUAAAUAGUAGUUAAUAGUAGCAGUUAAUAGUAGUAGCUGGAAGCAGGAUCUUUAGGAGAUAGUCAAAAUAUGUAUAUGUACCUCCCCCAGCCCCGCCCCGUGCAGCACCACAGCCCUGCCCAGCCCCAGAAGUUCAUCAGUAUUAAGAAGCCUGAAGAUUUGGAAGAGAAGAAGAAAAAAAAAGAACAAGAAGAGCUUUAAGACAAGAUGCCCCAAGAGGAAAGUGAUUGUUACGGCCUAAAUCAGCAGUAACAAUGCUGCAAGUGUCAUCAUGCUUUUUAACCACUUAGACAUCUGUCUUCUCUUUUUUUUUUAAAGGUAAGCAAUUAUAUCAGAAAAAUUUUAAUCAGGACAAAAGGGUUACUGCUGAUGAGAAGUUCUCCCUCCCACACGGACCCCCAUUCUGCAGCCCUCUGCAGAGGCCACACGUGUGACCAGCUUCUAGAAAUGGACCUACAGAUGCACCCACAUACGUGUGAAUACGUUUAUAACUCACAUGCUUACAUACGAUGGUGACCUCAAGACCAGCUCAGCAGAAACUCAAGUUUUCAGUUGUUUACCACAGCCUGGAAUUUUCCUUUUCCAGAUUUCUAUUACCAGUUAUUAGGAAAAAUGGUCCAUUUAAUCAUCUCUGUUAUAUUUUGAGAGGACUUAGGAAUGACUUAAAUUAACAUAAAAAUAAUUAAACAAUAAUAACUGGAAGUUCAUAGAACAAGAUUCUUAUUUCUCAUUUCCACCACUCCUUUGUUGCCCCUGUGUAGUGGAAACUUUGAGCUUUGAGCUUGGUAGAGCUGGGCUGCUGCAGACACCACCACAGGCUGGAUGAACUGAGUCCCCCGCAGAGGUGAACUGGAACCAAGGUUUCAGUCUCCUGACACUUAAUGCUUGAGGAGAGAAGGCUCACGCCAACAACCAAUAUCAGCAGCUUUGGGUAACGGGCCAUUUGUUGCAACACUGUGGUUUCUCAGUAGGAAACCAGAUUGUGGUUCUUAUGGUGCAGAGCUGCUUGUUUGGACCAGCUUGUCUUCUCCACCUUCCUCACAUCACAGAACACAUGGAGAAUAUUGUAGGGUACCCACAGUAAGCCCAGGAGGUAGCUUAUGGGCAGAAUCCCAGAGGCUCUGUUGGCCCAGGUCCUACCCUAAACCCUUCCUCUCAAAGGAUUAAAGGUAGCAUAAUAUAGCACACAGGUGAUCCAUUCCAGCUACUCGAAUUGGCGAGUAUCUGCUACCUAAGUGAGGCCUGAGAACCAUUUCAUUGCAGCAGCAGCACCUGACACUUAUUAGAAAAGCUAACACUCGGACCCAUUGAAUCAGCAUCUGUUUUAACGAGCUCCCCAUGAGUCUUGUGAACAUUAAGGUUUAAGAAGUGCUGUCCACGGGGUAACGUGUACCUCCCUAGCAUGGUGUAUAAGGCCCUGAGCACCUAAGCCCUGCCUCGCUUUCCAGCCUCACUUUUGGUCAUUCCCCUCUCCCCAACCCAUAGUUCUUGAAGGCACUCUGCUCUCUCUGUUCUUUACUUUGCACAGACUGCCUCUCAGCCUAGAACGUCCUUUACUUGCCCUUCUGAACUCUUACUUAUCCUUCAACUGUCAACUUAAAAGUCAAGUUCCACCUGCCCAGCUGAAUUAGGCAGAGCGAGACACUGGCCCGUUUUAGUCUUACUCCCACCCUGUUGCUCCCUGGUUUUGAUUAUGUGCCUCUGCUAAAGAACUUCCCACAUUGGACAGUAAUUACUUGUUUGUUGUCCAUUGUCUCAGGCAGACUGUGAUUGCUUGGUGUCAGCAGCUUUGGCUUACUCAUCUUUGAAUUUCUAGGUUGUAACACAGACCACACAUGGUAGGUGUGAAAGUCAUGCUUAUUGGAUAAAUCAAUCAGUGAAUCUUGGCCAUUUUUACUGGAAAGCGAUUUUCCUAAAACAGUAGUGUAUAUAAUAUUUAUAAAUCAUUACAAAAUAAUUCUGUUUGUAUGCCUCUGACUUGUGGCCAGUUUCAUGAAAUGCAGUAUAACAUGUAAAACUAUUUCUUAAAUCCCUCAGGCCAGAUGUGAAAUUAUGUUCUUUUUCACGAUUUAAUGUACAAUAACAAAAGUAUUGCAAAGAGAAAUUAAAUCAUAUCCAAUAAGUUGCAGAGGAAAAACAUCUUCUGAAAUGACUAAUGUGUACUAAAUCACCAUUCAUUGCUUAUUUUUAAAAAAUGUAACACUAAAUACUGAUCACUUUUUCCUUAAACAUACUAAAAAAAAAAAUUCCUGAUUACUAGCUAUUCUGCAUCCACUUUAAAAAUCAUAUUCUUGUAUCCUUUUUCUUCCCCAAGUAUUGUAAACUUACCUCCACACACAUCCUCAGCCAGCCUUUUCCAGACACCAUUUUUAAAAUCCUCUUCUGGGUGUUAAGGUCAUUUCACUGUGUUAGGAAGACUCAUAAAAGGAAGAUGUUAUAAAAGACCAAUUUCCCCCUGAGGGCUGAACAAUUAUUGGGGUAAUUUACCAAGGAUUUGCAGCCUGUAAGACCACACCAGCUGCUGAACAAAGCCAAGCAAAUAGUUUCUUUCCUUUUCUGUGUUUAGGAAAAUGAGUGUGAAGGAAAGGACGUCAACUCUCUCAGGAUAUGACAUAGGCAUUGUCUUUGAGAGCAGGAACUUCUAGGACAUGAGAGAGGGGCUGGUGGUGACAGAGAAGACUCCAGGCAGAGACAGAAGAGGACCCAACAGCUCGCUGCUCAUCAUCUUCAGAAAAUAUGGAAAGGGAGCAAAUAAUUUCAUAAAUAUAUAGAAUAAAACUAGCAGAGACAGCUGAUUUGGAGCCUCCAGUUUAGGAAAUUGCUUCUUUAAUUCAGAGACUCAUUAUUAAAAAGAAAGAAAAAAAUCCCUUGCAUUUGCAAAAUGGGCUUUGUACAGUGCCUAAGACCACAGCCUAGAGGACUGAAGAGUUACCAUGGCCCCUCAAAUCUCCCACAGGGAGGAAACGGGGCCAGGAAGUGGUUCACAACCUACAGAAGAAAUGCCUAUGCCCCACAAUCAAAGGGUAUAAGAAAAUAGCAUUAAUUUACCUGGUCCCAACUAGUUAAUCAGUCAAUAAAAGCUCAGAUAGAAAAUUCAGGCUGUCACACUCUCUUAAGAACACCAACAUAGCUCACAGUCCAGAAGAUCCUGCACGGAUCUCCUUUCUCUUUUUAUACCUCAGAGACACAGGAGGAAGCCAAGUAAAUUGGACCAUAACUUUUUUUGCCUUUUUCUUUUUUCACUAUUUUGCUAUUCGUUUAUAUCAAAGCCCUUUCAUGUUCUCACAAGAUUUGGGCCACUGAAUGGAAGAUUUAUGCCCUGCCAGAAAAUGGGCUUCAGUUCUGCAGUCCCACUCCUGCCACCAAGUGAACUUUCAGAAGAGCCUUUGGGGCUGUAGCAAAUUAGAUGCAGCAGGACCUCUGAGGAACCAAGAAACAUAUUUUCCCUAACCAGGGCUCACCUGCACUUCAGGCUGAGAUUUUUCCUGGGGCUAAAGGGCCACCUCCCAUCUGGGGGAGCCUUUCCUCCCAGCUCCCUCAAGACACUCUCCACAUGUCUGCCUUGGCACUUAGCUUCUUGUAUUGAAAAUAACAAUGUAUUUGUCUCUCCC